Molecule: long non-coding RNA, 22890 nt
Filed under: Eucalyptus grandis
Lineage: Eukaryota; Viridiplantae; Streptophyta; Magnoliopsida; Myrtales; Myrtaceae
Description: long non-coding RNA (EGRA_LNC000521)
Source: RNAcentral
AUGGGGAAUGUGGAAAGACCAUCAACGGUGGAGGAUGUAUGAUGCAUGGAGUCUUCUGUUUCCUUCCUCUCUAACCUCUCUUUGGAUGAGAAAUAUGAGGAGUGGAAAGACUAUCAAGUGGUGUUCAUGGUCAUCUCUCCUCCCUCAAACAGUUAUAAAUUCUAUGUUGCUCGAAGUUUGGGUACUUGCCAGAGGAUGGCUUUCCUCCCUCCCUCAACGUAUUCCACAUAAUUCAAUGUGAGAUUUUGAAGGAUGGAUCCUCUUUUGCGGGCAACUACCAGCUUCUCAUCCAAGAAAUCCCACUCAUUGUGAUUAAUCUAGUUCGGAUCCAACAGGAAGAUAUCUCUCCAGUGUCUUAAGUUUUGCUCUUCAGGUAAUGAUUCGGACUUCUUUCUUCCACACUUGUCAUUAAGCUAUUGCUGCUCCAGGAUCCAUUUUCAUUAUGCUUCCUCAACUCAAUGCUAAAAUGUUAAUUUUUUUCCAUGGACGUGCUUCACAUAAAUGUCCACAAACCAGCUGCUGAAUGUCCAAUGUUGACAUUUGGGUUGCCCUGUUUUGUUUACCGAGGAAGUACACAAUGAAAUGGUUAUAGUACUAAUGUGGUACAGCCAAUGACAAUUCCUCGAACAAAUAAUACCUCCAUGGACUUGCUCAUGGUGCUGGAAUUAUGAUGCGUCAAAUGUGCCUGUUUAUAUCGAUUAUAUAUCUAGAAUUUUGUGUGAUGACCAAAAAUUGUUUAUCUCUGCACUUGGAUGACACAAAGAAUUUGCAAAUGGAAAUGCACCAUGCAUUGCGUGAGAAUUAUGAAAAAUUGUCACUCUCAUAUCGAAAUUUUUCUGCAAUUUCAGCAUUUAUUGUAUUUUCUCUUCCAAAUAUCUGUUUCUUAUGCCCUAGCUCACUGACCCGAAUUCUCUCGACUGUGCUUGUCUUGCAGAAGAUCCCACUGUCAUCUGUGUCUGGCAAAAUCUCUUUGGCUGAUCAAAUGCAAAUACCGUUGAGGUAGGCAACUGAUGUACUUAUGUUCAUCUUUUNNNNNNNNNNNNNNNNNNNNNNNNNNNNNNNNNNNNNNNNNNNNNNNNNNNNNNNNNNNNNNNNNNNNNNNNNNNNNNNNNNNNNNNNNNNNNNNNNNNNCAACCUGACAAAAAGAUAAAAAAAGCUAUUAAUUUUGGUAGGUGCAUCGAUAUGCUUUAAUUUUUUUUUUCUUUUUGUGACAAGGUCUAAAUAAGAUUAAUCUUUAUCAUGAUGUUGAUUAUCAAGGUCUAUAAUCAAAGUCAAAUUAAGAAGCUUUAUUACUUUGAAUAACAGCUAUUGUAAAGAUGCAAAAAUGGGAUCUAUAACGGGUUCUCAACUUGGCAAAUACGACAACUAAAUUUCAAUGAACCUGCAGAUUAUAAUCUAUUUAAAUCUGACUUUCUCAUUAAACUUCACAAUUCAUCUUUCUUCUAUUUAAAUCUUACACCAUCUCAAAGAACUUUUUCAUUUUCUUUGUUGUAAAGGAAAGGCGGGGAGGAGUAAUCAGGGAGACUAUACUUUGUUGCUCUGUUGAGUAAUCCUAAAAUUCCCACGUCUGCCACGAAGUAUUGUGAUUUAAAAUUGCAAGAAGGUCGUCAUCCAAUACCACUCACAACCCAAUUAUCUUGGGUAGGCAAGUCUUAUCAUUAUCCUACUAAGCUGCCAGAGCUCCAGUUAAUCUUCACAAAACCUAGUUCAGGUUACUCUACAGACCCUGCCUUUCGUCCACCAAUCAUGACAGUGAUUUAUGUAGUGACAGUUCCGGGAUCAAGUGAUUUAUGUUUUUAAUGGUUACUGCAUUUCGAGCGUUCCAGAUAUACCAACAGGCGUAGGCUAUCAUUCUUAAGAGUUAUCAGUUCGUACCAAGUUAUUCGAUCUCCUGACCUCACAUUUGCAAAAUAUCAGCCCGUAUGAAAAAGUCUCUAUCACCAGUGAUUAGUGGUCUCCCAUACUUGUUUGUUAACACAAUCAUAAUAUUUUUCCAGCAAUUAAUAUAUAUAUAUAUAUAUAUAUAUAUAUAUAUAUCUAUCAGCAAGGUAUCCUGGUUCACUUUUUGUUGCAGUCAAUUAGGUGUGUAUAUAAUUUUGUUCUGAUCACUCUUGUAGUUGUUCACUGUGCAUGAAAGACAAUUUUUAUUCAGGACUAAUUGCUCGUCCUGUUUCAGACUUUUGGAUGAGAAAUAUGAGGACUGUGGAAAGACUGUCAAUGGUGGAGGAUGUAAGAAGCAUGGACUAUUCUGUUUCCCUUGUCUCUAAUUUCUCCUUGGAUGAGAAACAUGAGGAACAUGGAAAGAUUUUCAAGUGGUCUACCUCUCCUCUCUCAAACAGCUAUCUUUUGUAGGUUUUAUUGGUACUUGCCAGAGGAUGGCUUUGCUCCCUACUCCGAGUAUUCAGCAUAGUGCGUUGUGAAAUUCUGAACGAUCUAUGCUCAAAACUCAAUAGUGGUGACUGUUGGCACCCCAUCCAAGAAAUCCCACUUGUUGUGGUUGAUUGAGUUAAGAUUCAAUAAGAAGAUUUCUCUGCAAUGUCUAAUUUUUAUUCUUCAGGUAAUGCUUCGGACUUCUUUCUUCUUCCGCACUUGUCAUUUAAUUACUGCUUCUGCUCUAGGAUCCAUUUCUAUUACAAAUCCUCAACUUGAUGCUAAAAAGUUCACGGUUUUCCAUGCACAAGCUUCACAUAAUUUGCCACAAAGCAGCUAGACAUUUGGGUUGCUCUGUUUUGUUUGAUAAGGAAGCACAUAAUGAAAUGGUUAUAAUGCUAAUGGGGUACAGCUANNNNNNNNNNNNNNNNNNNNNNNNNNNNNNNNNNNNNNNNNNNNNNNNNNNNNNNNNNNNNNNNNNNNNNNNNNNNNNNNNNNNNNNNNNNNNNNNNNNNNNNNNNNNNNNNNNNNNNNNNNNNNNNNNNNNNNNNNNNNNNNNNNNNNNNNNNNNNNNNNNNNNNNNNNNNNNNNNNNNNNNNNNNNNNNNNNNNNNNNNNNNNNNNNNNNNNNNNNNUUUUUCUGCCAUUCCAGCAUUUGUUGUAUUCUCUUCAAAAUAUCUUCGUUUUUUUUUUCUUUUUUUAUGCCCUAACUCAGUGACCUGAAUCCUCUCAACUGUGCUUGUUUGCAGAAUAUCUCACUGUCUUCUUUAUUUGGCAAACUCUAUCAGAAGGAUCAAAUGCAAACACUGUUGAGGUAGGCAAAUGAUGUGCUUAUGUUCAUCUUUUGCAACUUGACAAAAGAAAAAUAAAAGGCCAUUUAUUUUGGUAGGUGUAAUGAUAUGCUUUAAACUGUUUUUUCGGUGACAUGCUCAAAAAGAUUAAUCUGUAUCAUGAUGUCAAUUAUCGAGGUCUACAUUCAAAGUCAAAUGAAGCAGUUUUCUUACUUCCAACAGCAGCAGCUAUUGUAAAGAUGCAAAAAAUAGGAUUUAAAACAGGUGUUUUCGAUUUAGUGAAUAUGACAAUUAAAUUUGAAUGAAUCCUGGAGAUUAUAAUCCAUUAAAUCUGACUUCCUUGUCAAAGUUCAAAGUUCAUCUUUCUACUAUUCAAAUUCCCACACCAGCUCAGAGCACAUUUUCCUUUUUCCUCGUUUUCAAGGAAAGGCAAAGAGGAGCAAUCAGGGAGACUAUGCUUUGCCACUCUGUUAAGUCAUCAUGAAAGCCUCACGUUUGCCACGAUGUAUUUUGAUAUAAGAUUGUGAGAAGACCGUUAUCCAAUACUACUCACAACCAUUUAUAUAUGGCAGGCAAGUUUCGUUACUAUGACCCUACCAAGCUGCCAGAGCUCCCAUCACGGAUAAGACAAGAUUCAUGCGCCAUCAUCGCUAGGGGGUUAUCCUUGUGUCCUCGCGUUCGUGAAAUAUCAGCUCGUGCCAAUAGGCCACAAUCACUGGUGAUCGGCGAUCCCCCAUAGUUUUGCAUUAGCGUUAUCAUUAAGGUCAUUCAGGAAAAACAAAAUCAUCAAAACAAUCACAUUUUUUAGGCUUGCAAUGGGAAGUACCCUGGUAUGUCUUGUAGAUUUUUGGUUGAAGUUGGUUGAGUAUGUGUAUAAUGUGUAUGUCUGAUUACUCUUGUAAUUGUUUAUUUCACACGACAAAGUAAUUUUUACUGUGGACGACUUGAUUUUCUCAUCCCAUGAUUUUUUUUUUUUUUGUUCCCAUUUUCAUCUCACACGCCAUAUAUUAAUCCUUUAGUUGAACUUGAAGAGUAUGAUACAGUGAUAGUGAUUCUAUUGAGAUAAUUAUAUUGAUGAUUGCGAAAGAUGAAAGUUGGGGCAUUAAAGAAAUGUCCAGGGCCUUAAUGAGGUGAACUCCGAUUAAUGCAAAAAAAAAAAAAAAAUGUUCCUUUUGUUUUUUUUAUCCGUUUCACUUUUUAUGCAAUUAAAAAGUAAUUUUUUCCUCAACGAUUUAUAAGAAUUUAAGACGUCUUCAAAACACUUAUCUUCAUCUGGUCAACCUGAGUUAGAUGCCUUGUUGACCUAGAUGCCUUUAUACGAAGUGUUACCAAUCUUCUUGUUUUUUGUUUACAAUAUAUGUUAAUACUUCACAUGAUUGAGUUGAAUAAGGAAUGUUUCAAGAAUACCUAAAUAUUUGUCGUUGAUGAAUUAGAUUUAUUGAUUUUUCGAACAACACCGUGUGAUAUACUAAUUUGUAGAUGUAAAUCAAUUAUAUAGCAUGUAUAUAAGUCGGGGAUAUCAUUUGUUAAGGUUAAAAUAACUUUUGAAAAAUUUCCCCUUAUCAAAAAAAUAAAAAUAAAAUAAAAGACUUUUCCGAAACUUCAAAAUUUGUGGAUGCCAUAAAUUAAUGUCAAGUCAACUUUUCAUUAUUGAUAAUAUGACAUUGUUCUUCUUUCUCUUUGCCAAAAAUAUUGAUAUAGCAUAAGAGGGAUUCAUCGUAGUCGAUUGUUCUUAAUAUUUAAAGUAGACUCCAAAUAAGAAAAAGCCAGUAAUAUGACAUUUCGCACGUAAAGCGAUAUCGACACCUCAGAGUUUAUAUAGUUCCCUUAAUAGAAUGCCUAGUUUAAUACCAAAGAGAAGCAAAAAACGAAAAAAAGCAAAAAACAAAAAGAAUUCCUAGUUAGUUCCCCGAAACAAGCCCCUUCUUCAAAUUCUGUAGUGUGAAAUAAAAUUUAAAAUUUAAUAAAAAAGGAAGAUUUUAUACAUAUAUUUUCGAAAUGUUUCAGGUGCUCAAAUGCUAAAUGCGGAUUCAACUUGAAUUUAACAAUUGCAAUAGUAUUAAGCCCUAACACCAUGCUGCAAAGGCAUUAAAUGGACCGUUGUUGGCAUGUUGGGCCUAGAAAGAUAGAUAGCCCCAACUCUUGGGCCUUGAUCCAAAAAUGGAUCCAAUUUUACUAGGACUUGAUGUACAAUUCGGGUAAUAAGGUAAAGAAGGUUGUUCGGCUGGGAUAACACUCACUAAUUGUAGAACUAUUGAAUGGGCGAGCCUAGAUGGACCAAGUCGGAUGUCAACCAUCAAAAUUCUUACCCAUUCCACCCUAAGAUUUUGGAAAUUAUUAUACUUUCUUCUUAUAAAUAAUAGCAUCGGGGCGAGCUAGUGCCCAUGAAGAAAGUUGCUUGCCGAGACUCGCUCAAGUCGUGCAUUUGGCAAACAAUAAAACAAUGCCGGGCGAGUCUUGGUAGCUCAGAGCUAUGAGAGAAGAGUCAUGGCCCUAGGCUUGCCCAAUUAUUUUCCCUUAUUUGGGCUAGGUUGAGCUAAGCUCGAUGGGAGAUUCGUUUUUUUUUCUCUCGAGCCUACUCAAAUGAACGAGUGUGUUUUGCAUUCGAAUACAGUGAGGACUAUUCGAAAUAUCCGGUUUCAUCUUGAGAAAAAAAAAUGAUAGAUGAUAUACUUGAUAUCAACGUGGACUCAUAUGAGCUCGAAACUUAUGGCCUAAUUAUGUGCGAAAACACACAAUCAGGUAUGGAGGACAAUCAGUUAUUACAAUGGCUCUCUUUAGAUUUAUUUAAUGACAGACUUCGUAAUCUAUAUAAUUCCCUCCCCCUCCAUAUUCUAGCGUGAUAACGAUGAGUCAUCAUCAUCACCUAACAACAAUUUAUGGGACCAUACGGUGAGUCGACCAAAAGACAACUUCUGUCGAAGGAUUCAGUGCAAAACAAAAGCCGCGAGAAGAUGGUUGAAGAAGAAUUUUUAGCGAGGGAGAGCACUGAGUUCGGCAGAGCUCCAGCUCAGUUUCUGAUGUCUCUCGGCCUUUGCUCCCACGACAACGGCUCCUUCUACUCGGCUCCUUGCCGUUCGAUCGCUAAAGCUUAGCCCUCUCGCUCUCUUUCUAUGGUUUUCGGCUUUCGGUUCAAUGAAUCGAGCUGAGCUCUCUGUUUUUUCUUGAAUUUCCAGAGGAGAGGCUUCUUCAUCGACUUUCCUCCUUCUCGGUUUCUGUUGAUGUCCUGGACCUUGGUUGUUGCUGAUGGUAAUAACUGAUGCGAAUCGCUGCUUGAAGAUGGCGUAUAUUAGUUCUUUAACGGGGAGGCGUUUUACCUGUUCGACAGAAUGCCUGACUCAGUCAUAGAUAGUNNNNNNNNNNNNNNNNNNNNNNNNNNNNNNNNNNNNNNNNNNNNNNNNNNNNNNNNNNNNNNNNNNNNNNNNNNNNNNNNNNNNNNNNNNNNNNNNNNNNNNNNNNNNNNNNNNNNNNNNNNNNNNNNNNNNNNNNNNNNNNNNNNNNNNNNNNNNNNNNNNNNNNNNNNNNNNNNNNNNNNNNNNNNNNNNNNNNNNNNNNNNNNNNNNNNNNNNNNNNNNNNNNNNNNNNNNNNNNNNNNNNNNNNNNNNNNNNNNNNNNNNNNNNNNNNNNNNNNNNNNNNNNNNNNNNNNNNNNNNNNNNNNNNNNNNNNNNNNNNNNNNNNNNNNNNNNNNNNNNNNNNNNNNNNNNNNNNNNNNNNNNNNNNNNNNNNNNNNNNNNNNNNNNNNNNNNNNNNNNNNNNNNNNNNNNNNNNNNNNNNNNNNNNNNNNNNNNNNNNNNNNNNNNNNNNNNNNNNNNNNNNNNNNNNNNNNNNNNNNNNNNNUCCAUCAAAUUGGGGCAAUUCAAGGCUUGAAACAUAUAAGAAAUGAUAAUAUUCCGUGUUGCCCUGAUUCGAGUCAGCAAAAGCCAUUAGUUGUCGGGCGUUACUUGUGCGUACUUGGACCUCCUCGGCAUGUAUAUCCAUGUAAGAAAGUGACUGCUUUGGAUUCAUUAUGAUUUCAUAUUGGAUUAUCACAUUCUUAUGCUUGAAGCGUGCUUAUGUUAUCCUAGUAGCUUGUUGUCCGUAUGUAUUUGUUCAGAGAAUGAUAAACUUGCAUUUGUGACUGGUGGGGUCUUCGUCCAGUUGAAGUGGUAUUGGCUCUUUCUGUUGGGUCAGUGUGGGUGUCGCUGUCAAUUUUUUUCUCAUAUAGGACAAUAGUGCAUGGAUGAAAGUUGCUUUCUUUGAGGUAAAGAAGUUGAGUAUAUUGAGCUAAAUCUUCACUGCACCAUGUUGACAUCUUCUCAGCUUGCCCUUCAUGCUUUGAGAUUGUAAAAUAUCAGCCCUCAGUUUUGUUGGUGGUGUAGUUGGUCGUUCAUCCUUUAAAGAUUAAAGAAUAAAAAAAUGCUAAGAACUUACUAGUUUCAAUUAGGUAGUCGAGCCCUUAAGAAUUGAUUUAUCCACCGUUGGAUGAUGUGAACUUCACAUGGAUACCAAAUUUUGACGAUACAAGUGAGAAAUCAUGAAUCCUAGAAUUCAUUCUUUAUGUUGUGAAUUCCCCUCUAGGUCAAGUUAAACCAGUCAUUAGGUAAUUAAAGGUAAUUGGAUGUGAUGGUUGAUCUAGCUAGUUUUGUUGGCUGCGAUGGUUGCAACAGCAUUGGAAUGAGUUGCCUUGGCAGUGGUGCUAACGCCAACGGCAGCGGUGGCUAUGGAAAUGGCAGUGCUCUCUCUUGCCCCAUUCCUUCAAUUUUAUUAUUUUUCUUUUUCAGUUUUAUGCUUCUUCUUUUUUUUUAACUUUUCUUUUUGCUUUUAUUAAGCUUACAUUUGAUAAGACACAUGAAAAUCUAGACAUUAUUCUAAUAGACAAGUACCAUAUAGACAAAUGAAUGAAUAAUUAAAAUAUGAUUAAACAUGAAAAUUGUUAGACGAACAUUAUUGUCGAUUUUGAGCAUGAGAACAACAGACAGUGCUGAUUAUUAAAUAAUAUUUCAUCAAAAUAGGAAAAAAAAUGUAAAAAGUGAAGUAGCCAAGCCAAUUUGCAUCCUGGAAAGUCUUGGUCUUCCUGAAUUUAUGUUAUAUGCAACAAUGAAAGUGCUAAAAUUUCGCAGCGAGAGGAGUGGCAAUAAUCUACUGAAGGGUGCUGAGGUAGUAGUAAUGAUCGAGAGCCGCUUAAUAGGAGAAUGCUAGUCCUUUUGAACACGAUUUUCCUGUUCAUGAGUUUUAUGCGUAGACCAUAAUUUCCAGUAGAUCAUACUGUUAGAUGGUUAUUUGUGACUCUUUUACUAUUGCUAAAGUAAAACAAAGCAACUUGCUUAAUGGAUUGGUUGGUGUGGUUGGUGUGCCUGACCCUUUUUCUCGUUCAGCUUAAAGCACGUGUUUUUGUUUUCCUUAUUGAACAAAGAAAGUUAGCCUUCUCGGAUGACAUGUAGUUGUAUAACGAAAAGUCUUGGUCUUCCUCAAUUUAUGAUUUAUGUACAUGAGCAAACAUUUGAUUGUGGAAACUCCAAAUAUCUGAGGAUAUUCUCCAAACAUUACGAGACAAGCACUUGUGGACGAAAAGUAUUUUCUAUCGAUUCCUCUAACCACUAAUGUGCAUCCUUAAAAGUCUUGGUCUUCCUGGCCUUUAUAGUUUUCUCUUUCCCUUAUCUCUUUAUCACUUAGAUUCACCAUCACCCAUUCCUGUCCCCCUGCUCAACAGUGUUCUCCUCUUGCUCAUCUGAACCAAGCAGUCUUGCUUGCUAGAUUGCUGUCGUUGAUCUCAUCCCGUUCACCGGUUUGCUCAGGGAAGUCUACUCGGAAAAGGUAAGAGACAUCUAUCUUCUUGCUCUAUUUUUCCCUCAAACUGAUGCAGCCGCAACUUUGCUACCUAAAGCAUCUGGUGGGCGUUUAUUACCCGAGAGCAACCACCUAUUCUUUCUUAAAUCUUUCUAUUAGUGGAGGCAAAGAAGAGGUAACAGCAGCAACAGAAGUUUGGUUCUUAAACCGAUUUCAUGCCUAUCUAUGAUCCUGAUUAAAGUUGAUGUCAAAUACUUGAUGUCGAGUUUAAUAACAAAGAACUAUUACUUCAAUUUUUGUUAGAUAGUAAUAUUAGGACAUUAAGAUUAAUUUUUAAUCUCUCCAUCAUUGAUCUCUUUACUAAAAACGCACUGACGUGGAAUAAUUUUGCUAAGUACAAGUUUGGGAUUUUACAUGAAAUAAUCACAUAUCUGUUUGGAAUUUUAGUCCAUUAAAUUGGGUAAACAACAAUAAAUAUCGUAAGAGGAUAGCUUCAUUCCUCUUAGAAGAGAUUCCCGGGAAAUUCACGUUUGCUACAGUUCUGCGGUGCCAAAAAAAUAAAUAAUUUUUGUUGUGUCUUUUCACAUGUUCACUCUUAUGGUAGAUUUACCAUCAACGGAAGGGGGUAAGGUGAAUUAAUAAGGUGUUUGUGAUUUAGUAUUCUUUUAAAGUGUGCCAGUGUAAUCAAUCGAGUUAAGUCAAUUCGAUUGCAAAUUAAACUUCACAUGAAGUAGUUUUUGCGGAAGCCCCAAGGGUGUUGCAUGUGGACGACUUGUUUUCAUCAUGCAAAAACCAUUGAUAGUUCAAUGCUGGAAAACUUAUUCAUGUAUUUUCUUUCAAGAUAGAGAAAAAUGUGAAGGUGUUCAUGAUAAAAAAAUUAAAUUUUGAAUUAUGGAAAUCAAAAUUGUGCUUUGUUAGAAAAAGACCAUGCGAAGACUUAGUGUUUUGUUAGAGAAGAAGGUAUUUCUACGUCAGAAUAGUUUCUGAGAUUGUUCAUCUUUUAUAAUGCGCAUUAAAUUGGUAUUAAGCAGAUUUCACAUAUUUUUCAACCCCAAAAAGCCCAACUUGUCAUUUUAUAUUGUACACUCCUAAAAGUGAGUAACUUUCUUAUAUUUGUUGACUCCCCCUUUUAAGUUCUAAUUCAUGCUAAAGAAUCUUUAGUCGGUCAUUUUUAAUUUUAAUUUUUGAAGGCGUCAAAAAAGUUAUUAUAUAUAAUUAAUUGGUGGGGCUGUAAAGCCAAGAACACAUCACUCCAUGGAUUUAAUCUCUCUCUCUCUAUAAUAUAUUUUCCCUUUGAGCCCGAGAGAGAGGGGACCAACAAUGCAUGUAAUCGGCGAAUUAAGGGUUUAGUACAUGUUUUAGAGAUAAUUCAUUAAAAAAAAGUGUGAAUGAAAAGUAAAUGUUUAUGAUCGUGNNNNNNNNNNNNNNNNNNNNNNNNNNNNNNNNNNNNNNNNNNNNNNNNNNNNNNNNNNNNNNNNNNNNNNNNNNNNNNNNNNNNNNNNNNNNNNNNNNNNAAAAAAAUACAAAGUCACCCCUGAAAGAAGUGAAAUGCUCAGACCAAAAAAAAGGAGUCAUAUGUUAAACAGAUUAAUAUGGCUCUAAUCUCCUUGUGAAUUUUACAUUAUGAUGUUAUCAAAUUACGGAAAACUCGUCAUUUUUUUUCUUAAUUGUAGACCAAUAGAAGACAAAAAUAAAAGAGGGACAUUUGCUUUCAUCCAAGGUAAAUAGGAAAUACAUUGUUGAAAGCAACCUUCUUGUUUGUUCGAUCUUUUCAUACUUGUCGGAAUCAUUAGAUCACCAUUGCUUGUGAUGGAGAGCACGUUAUGUCUGGGUGAACUUCACGCCUUUAUGAACGAUUCGGAAUACAGAAUGUUUAAAGAACGCUUCUAGAGAGAAUGCCUUCUUGCUGCACAAAAAGAUGUAGAUAAACAGACGAAAGGCUGGAUGGAAAGCACAUGCUCUCCGAACGAUUCUGCUCAUUGAUCGCAUAUUCUGGAUAUGUGAUCAAUGUAUGCUUUAAGUGGCAGUUACAGUGUUAAAACCUCGUAGCAAGAGUGCUGAGGUAAUAGUUGAUAAUCGGAAUCGCUUGAUAAGAGAAUCAUGGUCCUCUGAACACAAAUUUCCUGUUCAUCAGUCUGAUGCAUAAAGUAUAAUUUUCAGUAGAUUAUAUAAUGUUAGCUGGUGAUUUUUUCACUCCUUCACUAUUUGCAAAGCGAACUAAACCAACUUGGUUAAUGGAUUAGUGAUGUGCCUGACCCUUUUUUCUUGUUUAGGCAUGUGCUUUAUUUUCCUUAUUGAACAGACAAAAUUAGCUGCCUUUGAUCUCUUCACAUGGUCAUUCACGUUGAAGGAGGAAUCAGUAAUCUUAUCAUAUCUUAAACAUAUGCAAAUUUUCAGCACUAUAACUGUCACGUAAAAGCCUAUUCACCAAUAAAGCAGAAAAAAAAGAACAAUGAAUCAUAAAGAUUCUAACAAUAUAUGAAUGCGAGAAAAGCCAACACAUAAGUCGUAAGCAAUGAAGUUUUUGAUGAAAAUACGCGUGCGCUCUAAGUUGGUCAUGUGUAGAAAAAUCACAUUUUAUCCUCUAUUUGGAUAACCACAAGGAAAGUCUCGAUCUGAAGAAAAAGGGAGAACAAUCGACAAAACAAGCACUCUUGGACAAAAAACUAUUUAUUUUGAUUUGUCUAACCUUUUGUAUGUGUCUCUUAAAAGUCUUGGUCUGUUUUUUUAUUCUCUUUGGUCAGUGAACGUCUUGGUCUUCCUAUAAUUCAUAGUUUUCACUCUCCACUAGCUCAUUUUAACUUUGCUUCAUCAUAACACCUUUGUUGUUCUCUACAGUGACUGAUUCAGCCAUGGCCAUUGGAGAGAUCGUUUUGGGUUCCUUCUUGGCUUCCCUCUUUCAAGUCUUGUUUGAGAAGUUGACUCCUCUCCUUUUGGGCUCUACACAACGAGAAGGAAUCAGCAUUGCCCUGCUCAAGGAGUGGGAGGAAAAGCUGAAAUUGAUUAAUGCAAUGCUGGCUGAUGCAGAGGACAAGCAACUUGAAGGUAGUCAUCUAGUGAAGCUAUGGUUGGAUAAUGCUGGGGACUUGGCCUAUGACACGGAAGACUUGCUCAAUGAGUUCGCCAUCAAAACUGCUCAAGUUAAGAUGGAGGUAGAAUCCAGCACAAGCAAAGGUCGAAUGAAAUGGAAGUUCUCUUGCUUUGGCCGAAAUAAACCCUCUAGAUGGAAUCUGAACCCAUCAUCGCUUGUGUCUAAAACCAUGGUCCAAGAGAUCAAUGGUAGGUUGGAAGCGAUCGUCGACGAGAUGGCUCGUCUAGGCUUGGAAGCGAAUGUUGUGAACAGAUCCAACUGCAUCAAUAAAAGGGAUUCUACUAGUUCUCUGCCAGAGCGUCGGUUUUUUGGCAGGGAGGAGGAAGAAAGGGAGAUACUCAAACUAUUGAUCCGUGAGGUCAAAAAUAAUGAUGCCACACUAAGCAUAGUCGCGAUAGUUGGGAUGGGCGGUGUUGGAAAGACGGCCUUGGCUCAGCAGCUAUAUAAUAAUGCCGAAGUGAAUAGCUAUUUUGAGAAGAGAGCAUGGGUUUGUGUCUCAGAUGAUUUUGAUGUCCUUGACAUAACAAAGACUAUUUUGCAGUCAAUCACCGGAUUGUCCAGCGAGGGUGAUCUUAAUGUCCUUCAAGUUAAGUUGAAGGAUAGUAUAUCUGGGAAGAAGUUUCUUGUGGUUUUAGACGAUAUUUGGAAUGAGAAGUACAAAAAAUGGACUGAUCUCUUAAAGCCAUUUGAAGUGGGGGCUAGGGGAAGCAAGAUUAUCAUCACGACUCGCAACCUUAAAGUUGCUUCCAUAACAGGAGCUUUGCCAUAUCAUUUGAGGGAAUUGUCCUUUGAUAAUUGUGUCAGCUUAUUAGCCUUUCAUGCUCUUGGAGCAACAAAUUUUGAGAGCCACCCGGCUUUUAAAAUAAUAGGCAUGAAAAUAGCCGAAAGAUGUAAAGGUUUACCUUUGGCAGCGAAGGUGUUGGGCGGUGUCCUACGUACUAAAAGUAAUCCUGAUGAAUGGGAAGAUACCUUAAACAACAAAAUAUGGGAUCUUCCAAUAGCGGAGAAUGAAGAGGUUCUCCCAGUUUUAAAAUUAAGCUAUGUCCAUCUUCCUUCCCAUUUGAAGAGAUGUUUUGCUUAUUGUGCGGUUUUUCCCAAGGAUUACGAAAUUGAGAGGGAUGAGUUGGUACUCUUAUGGAUAGCAGAGGGACUUUUAGAUGGGCAAAAAGCAAAUGAGAAUAUCUUGAAAUUGGGACGGAAGCACUUUGAUGAGUUAGUAUCCAGGUCAUUUCUUCAACAAUCAAGUAUCGACGUAUCUAAGUUUUCAAUGCAUGAUCUUUUGAAUGAUCUGGCAAAGUUAAUUGCAAGAAGGACUUGCUUUAGCUCGGGGGGCUCUCAGGUGGCAAGUAAUGAACAUGAUGUGUCAUCUCUUGAAAAAACUCGUUAUGCAUCAUUCAUCCCAUUGUGGUAUGUUACAUCAAAAUGCCUGAAACCAUAUCAAGGAAUGAAGGCACUAAGAAGUUUAAUUCUGGUGUGUGAUGGAUAUUUCUCUAUUUCCAACAAGGAGCUGCAUGACUUGCUUAAAAACUUGAAGUACUUGCGAGUAUUCUCGUUAUGUCAUUGUUUCAUCGAAGAGGUACCGAAUUGUGUUGGUGAUUUAAAACAUCUUCAAUAUCUCAAUUUCUCGUACACUCAUAUCAAGAGGCUACCUGAGUCAAUUGACGCCUUGUGCAAAUUACAAGCUCUGAUUUUAAGAGGUUGUCAAAUGCUUUCAAAGUUGCCUCAAGGUAUCACAAAGUUAGUCAGCUUACAGUUUCUUGAUAUUAGAGAUACAGUGAGUCUAAAAGAGAUGCCGUUGGGUAUUGGUAAUUUAGAGGAUCUUAUUAUAUUGUCCAAAUUUGUGGUAGGACGAGAGAAAGGGUCGCAGUUGAAAGAGUUAAAGAAGUUGCCACAUCUUGAAGGAGAAUUAUUCAUGUCAGAAUUGCAAAUGGUAGAAAAAGAUAUAGAUGCAACCGAUGCUAAUUUUCUUCGAAAGCUAGACCUUGCCAACUUAUCCUUGCAUUGGGAUAAACAUGUGGGAAAUCUCCAAGAUCAUGAGCAUGAAGCACGAGUGCUUGACUUUUUGCAACCUCACACUAAUCUUGAAAAUCUCACUAUUUUGAACUAUGGUGGUGCAAGAUUCCCAUCAUGGUUAGGUUGUACGUCCUAUUCUAAAAUAGUGUCUUUGUGCUUGUGGGAUUGUCCUAAUGUUAUAUCACUACCCAUACUUGGACAACUACCUUCACUUAAGGAAUUAUCUCUUAAACGUCUAUGUGCAAUAAGAAUGAUAGGCUCUGAAUUUUACGGAGGUAGAAGGCCUUUUUCAUUGUUAACCACUUUAGAGUUCAAAGAGAUGUUGGUAUGGAAGGAUUGGUCUCCCUAUGUCGAGGGCUCAGAAGAAGAAGUUUCAUUCUUCUGUUUGCAGCAUCUUGUUGUCUGGGGCUGUCCUUUGUUGGUCGGGACAUUACCUUGUCAACUUGAUCAUCUCAUAAGGCUUGAAAUUCAUUCAUGUCCACAUUUGAAAAACUCAACCAACGAUGUUUGUCUUCCAUCUCUCCAUGAGUUGUUCCUUGAGGAUUGUAACAAGGAGAUCUUGAAGAGAUUGGUCAACCUAACUUCUUUGACCAAUCUUAGAAUUAAGAAUCUUGUAGAGCUUGUUUGCUUUGAUCAUGGGUUAAUGAGUAACUUGAUCAAGCUAAAGGAGCUUCAUAUAGAAGGGUGUGACCAGUUACAAUACUUGUGGGAAGAUGGAAAUGAAAUGCUAAAAUCUAUUGCCAGCUUUAGUAAUCUCACUAUUUUGAAUAUUAGUGAGUGUCCAGCAUUGGAGAUGGAGAAUUUCCCUCCCCUUCCCAUCACCUUGUCGUCUCUUGAAAUUAGUGAUUGUCCGAAGAUGAAGUCUCUGCCAAAUCACUGGUGUCAUCUUACAUCCCUCGAGUACCUCCUUAUUAGACAGUGCAAAAAUAUCAAAUGCUUGCCCGAAGGAGGUUUGCCUCCCAAUUUAGUGACCCUCAUAAUUAAUGGGUGCGAGAAUCUGGAGCAGCCAAUGAGAGAAUGGGGCUUACCCCUGCUCAUGUCCCUCACGUUUCUAAAUAUUGACGGAAGCAGCAUGGGAGGGGAGGGAGAGAAGGUGCGGUUUCCUUCAGGAGACGAGGACGAGGAGGAUGCGUGGCGUCUUCUCUAUCCUUCCUCUCUAACACGUCUUUAUAUAACAAAUAUGAGGAACGUGGAAAGAUUAUCACGCGGUCUUCGGAACCAUCUCUCCUCUCUCCGACGUUUAAGGAUUGAAGAUUGCCCGAAGUUGAGGGACUUGCCAGAGGAUGGCCUCCCUCCCUCCCUCCAUACAUUCAUAAUUCAUGGAUGCGAGAUUCUAAAAGAUCGAUGCUCAAAACACACCGGCGACUAUUGGCCCCUCAUAGAUCCUGAGCAUCGUGAUUGAUCGCCAUCUGAUCCAACAAAUUGAUUCGUCCUGGUACAGUCAAGUUUUCUAGGGUUCGGGUAAGUUUAUGGUUUCGAAGGCAUCGAUUUCCCCUUCUGCUUCCUCAACUCGAUGCUCAAUACAAAUCGAUACUUUCCCAUGUAGAUGUUUCACGUAACUUUCUGGAAGUCCGAGAAAUCCCCUAACAUACGCAUUGAUUGGGUUCGGAUCCAAUGAAGUUAGAUCGAUCCGCUUUCGCUUUCAUUUGCCAAGUGACACGAUUCAUCCUUCAAUGUGCAGUCAGUUUUCUUGCGGUUAGGGUAAGUUUUUGGGUCUUGAAUGCAUCAAUUUCGCUUCUGUUCUUCAAUUCGAUGCUUUAUGCGAAUUAAUUUUUUCCCAUGGCAAAGUGUCGAAUGGAAUUUCCAGAAACCGACUUAUCGUGAAAUACAACAAAAAUUCAGGGCUGAAAGAAUGAUAUUUAGUUGCUUGAAUCCCAUCAAGAGCUUCCUUUAGUCUCCAAUUGCACUGCUUGCGGAAGUUGAUGAUAUUCUUGUAUGCCACUGCAGCAUCCAUCUCAUCUACUGCGUUGGGCCUGCUUUUCUCUUCAUUCACUGCAAUGCACUUUCGAACAGCAAGUGAUUCAGCCUCCUCUGCAGGCAUGCAUCUCCUCUGUUUCAUUUCCGGCCUCAAUCCCAACAAAGGCAUGUUAUGUAAGACCCAUCUUAGUUAAUCUUCACAAAACCUAGCUCUGUUUUACUCCAGGCACCGUGCCUUUCAUCCACCCGAUCGUGACUCUGCUUCCAUUUUUACUGGAACACCCUUCAAAAGAGCUUUUUUGACCUGUGCAAGUGAUAGUUUUUAGUAUCUGGUGAUUUAAGGGUAAAAGUUACUAUAUUUUGAGCUUUCCAGAUAUACCAAUAGGUCUGGGCAAUCAUUCCUAGGAGUUAUUAAGCAUACAAAUGAGUUAUUUGUGAGUUAACAAAUCACAAGAAUUUUUCAAUGAAAAAAACAAAUAGAAAAUCAUCAAGAGGGUAUCCCAGUUCAUUUUUCAUUGCUGUGAAUUGGGUAUGCAUAUAAUUUUGUUCUGAGCACUCUUCGCAUGAAAGGUAAUUUUUAUUCAGGACUAAUUGCUUUGUCUUGUUUCAGAUUUUUGGCUGAGAAAUAUGAGGGAUGUGGAAAGACUAUCAACUGUGGACGAUGUAACAAGCAUGGAGUGUUCUGUUUCCUUCGUCUCUACAUCUCUUUGGAUGAGAACUAUGAGGAAUGUGGAAAGAUUAUCAAGUGAUCUUCACAGCUAUCUCUCCAUUCUCGAAUGGCUACAUUUUAUGGGUACUGGAACUUGCCAGAGGAUGGCUUCUUUCCCUCUUCCAAGUAUUCGGCACAAUGCAAUUUCAAAUUCUGAGAGAUUGAUGCUCAAAACUCAGUGGUGACUAUUGGCACCUCAUCCAAGAUAUCCAGCUCAUCGUAGUUGAUCGAGUUCGGGUAAUAUAAGAAGAUAUCUCUCCAAUGUCUAAUUUUUGUCCUUCAGGUAAUGAUUCAGACGUCCUUUCUUUCUUGCACACUCGUCAUUUAGCUACUGUUGCUGCUGCAGGAUCCAUGUCUAUUCUGAAAUCGUCAACUCGAUACUAAAAACUUCAUGUUAUUCAAUGGACGAGCUUCACCUAAAUUUCCACAAACCAGUUACCGAAGGUCCAACAUUGACAUUUAGGUUGCUCUGUUUUGUUUAACAAGGAAGUACGCAAUGAAAUGGUUAAAAUGCUUGCAUCGUACAGCGAGUCAACCAUUGUUUUAUACAAGUGACUAUUCCUCAAAACAAAUAAUACUUGCAUGGAUUUGCUCACAGUGCUGGAAUUAUGAUGCGUGGAUGUGCCUGUUUGAUGUUAUAUUUUGAACUUUUUUCAUUCCCAAAACUUGUUUAUCUUUCCACUCAUGCAAAUGCACUAUGCUUUGCGUGAGAAUCAUGAAGAAUUGUUGCUUUUAUAUUGAUAUUUUUCUGCAAUUUCAGCGUUUGUUGUAUUUUCUCUUCCAAAUAUCUUCUUUUUUAUGCUCUAGCUCAGUGACCUGAACUAUCUCUACUAUGCUUGUCGGGCAAAACAUCCCACUGUCAUCUUUGCUUGGCAAAAUCUCUCGGUAGGAUCAAAUGCAAACACUGUCAAGUUAGGCAACUAAUGUGCUUACGUUUAUCUUUUGCAACUUUACAAAAAAAAAAACAAAAACAAAACAAAAACAAAAGGCUAUUUAUUUUGGUAGGUGUACUGAUAUGCUCUAAACUUUUUUUUUAGUGACAUGCUCCGAAAGAUUAAUCCAUAUCAUGAUGUCAAUUUUCGAGUUCUAUAUUCAUGGUCAAAUGGAGAAGCUUUUUUACUUAUAACAACAGCAGCUACUGUAACGAUGCAAAAAAUAGGAUUUAAAACAGGUGUUUUCAAGUUGGUGAAUAUUGUUGACACCUAAUUUUUGCCCAAAUUAUUGCAUAUAGAUUAUCUAGGUAUUUAAAAUGGAAGAUGUUUUCCCUAAAAAAAAAUUAAAAAAUUAAAAAAUUAAAAAAUUAAAAAAAAAAGAGAUAAAAGAUAAAAAAAAAGAUUAAAAAGAAAAGAAAAGAAAAAAAGUUGGGGCCAAUGAUCUAAAUGUGACUAGCCAAGCCCAGGAGGUCAUAUUGGAAUUCAAAUGGCAAGUUGGGGCCCAAAUGCAAUUUCCAAAAGUCGAGGGACCAAUUCGUAAAUUUUGCAAAAUUUGCGCCCGAGCCCUUAAUUCAUCAUCUUGGUCAUCAAUUAAGUUGAAAUUGAAUUUGGUCCAAGCAGAAUCAAUCAAAUUGAGCCAAAAAGGACCUAAUUGCAUUGAAUUUGGCAUUUUCGGGCAAGAAAAUGGCCAACUUUGAGGUACUUUCUUGUAAAAUUGGGUGGAGAUAAUUGCGAAAAAUGGUCAAGAUCUUAAACUACUAUACAUGAGCUUUCUAAUUGAUCAAAAAACGCAGCCAAAUUAGUGGAUUAAAGCACUCAAAUCAGCAGCCAAAACUCAGUCCACGAGUUGGUCUUAAUCCGGAGUUGCUGAGUAAGCAAUUUGGUGGCCCCACCAUAUCCUCCUCAGCUGCCCAACCAGCCCGAUAUUUGCACUUGAUGGAAGACCGUAUAUAGUAGUGCAAGUGGACGAAAAUUGGCCAGAGAUAAGCUUCUGACAGCACCGGAAAAUCGCAGCAAAACCUGCACACUCAACAGCUGCAGAAGUUAAAAAAUUGGCUAAGUCAGAAGAGUAGUUGAAGUAGCCCUGUUGACAGGCUUGGUCGGUGGGCAAAAGGCUGACCAAAAAUCCCUUAAUUCGGGGGAUAAGGUCACGGAAGCAAGGUCUUUCGAGAGAGGAGAGAGAGGAGACGAGAGGGAGAGGGGAGAGCUCGGAAUCGUCCCCCAAAGAGGCCCUCAGAAGCAACUCCAGAAAAGAAAACCCAGAAAUUCCAGAUCAACCUUCUGAGAGAAAAGUGAGAUUUUCGCGAACCUGCAGCCAAAAUUAGCCAAAACCUUAAACUAGAGAGUGAAACAUCACUCAAAUAUCUUUCCAUCCAUAGGUCGCACGUCCAAAAUGUAGAUCGGGAAGGCCUCCUAAAGCCCCCCGAAACAGUGCCCUCCUGUCGGGCCAAGAAAGUCCGAAAUUUUUCUAAGUGUCGAGACUGGUUGGUCACGAGUGAGGAAAGCCAGUGUUUUUGAGAAAGUUGAGAGACAAAUGAGGAAAAUAUUGACUUUUAACCCAGACUAGAAUACAUAUAGUUUUUCGUGGUGUCAAUUUUUCCAACAAAAUACGUCUUGAAGUCUAAUGUUAGAGCCCAACGAAAACCUUCGUUGUCAGUUCAUUUUUUUUGCAGAUCUCAUUUCUAGUUGAAGAAGUCAACUUCCACAGGCCCCCCGAGGAUAAUUUGUCGGUUUCAUCGGCCAAGAACCACUUGAAAAAGAAACUAGGAAGAAAGGUAAGCACCCUAGAUGUAUUUAUUUUCGAGUUUGAGCAUGUUUUGAUCAUGAAAAUCAAGAGGAAAACCGGCCCGGAAAACUGAUUUCUGAGGUUGAAAUUUUUCUUAGUGUUUGAAAUCUCUUCAAGAGUGUUGCAUGUGUGCUUCUUGGAGAGGUCUCUUUGAUGUUGUUCGGUGGGUCAUUCUCUGUGAUGUUUAUUGCAUUUGAAAGCUCAUGUUACCUACUUUCAUUCGGAUCAAGUAAUGUUUCCCUUAGAUCUCGUAUGUGAUAGGUGUCGGGGCUUGAAUAUGGGCACUCAACCUGUUUGCUUGACUUGGGUUCAAAUCCAGAUUUGCAAAAUCAGAUCAAACCCGCAUAUUUGAUGAGGAUUCCAGCUUGGUUUUCAUGUGUUUUAAGCUGUGUUUUUUUAUCUAUAUUACUCCUUGCAUGUUGUAGUUUAACCUUGAUGUUUUAGUUCCAUAUAAUAUUGCUCAUGAGUUGAGAUUGAAGACCGCAAACAUGGCCCGAGGAAGCUGAUUGGGGCUAGUUUAAUGCACCAAGUGUUCGACAAAAUGCUCAAACUAAGCUUCGAUCUUGAAACGAUCGAUUUGAGCUUGAUUAUUGUGAUAUUCAUGUGCUGUGUUACUCCAUGUUAGCAUAGAUCGGUUUAAGGAAUUAUUAUUAUUUUUUUUUUUAAAAAAUAAUUAAAAAAGAGAAAAAUAUGAAAAUUUCAAAAAUAUCAAAAAAUGUUAGAUAGCAUCAAAUUAGGAUAUAAAUGACAUAUAUGAAAUUUUCCUAAUUUUAAAAGGUCAUUUUCCUAAUUUAAUGCUAUUUUGGUAUUUUAUAACCAUUUUUGUAAAUAAUCCAUUUUGCGUAGAUUAAAACUAUUUAAAGUAAUUUCAUGCAUAUAGAGUAAUUUCAUGCAUAUUUGAACUCUCAUUUUGCUCAUGGGGGUCUUGUCCCGGGGCGUGAUAACAAGGCCAUGUAAUAUUAUUUGCCCGACUUGUAUCGAGUUUACCUUUUCCGCGUUUAUUUUCAAGUCAUUUCAAUUUCUUGGAUGUUUACUUACGCGCCGCUUUUCAUUAUUUUGAGUGUAAAUUUCUCUUCUAAAUUAUGUUAGGAUUAGUCUAGACAUUAAAAAAAAAAAUACAAAAACAUUUGCAUGGACACUUAGUGGUUUCAUAAAGAUUAUAAUUGGUAAUCAAGAUUGUAUGGCCAUUUAGAUAAACAACCUUCCAAGUUAGUGGUACCGCAAGGGCGCUAAUAGAAACAUUGGCGUAAACAAGUCCCCGUUCCUAGAAAUCUCUGGUUGCGUAUGAAUCGAGACAACACUCCCGUGUCUUGAUUGGUUUCUAGCCGACCUCAAUAGGCUAGUGGCGACUCCUAGAAUUACAUAGGUUGUUAAUAACUAAAAAACGAAUCCAAUGUCGCGCGGGGUAUGGGCUUGGGAGAGCCCGCGCCUAAUCUAGGGCCAUUGGUCCACCUCUUUACGCAAAUACCCCUAAACCUUCUUCUUUUUCCCCGGACAGAAAAAAAGAGGUCGUGACAAAUAUGACAACAAAAUUUGAUUGAGCCCUGCAGUAUCAGCCAUUUAAAUCUGAGUUCCUUGUUAAAGUUCAUCAUUUAUCUUUCUCCUAUUCAACUUCCCACACCAUCUCACAGCACAUUUUCUUUUUCUUUGUUGUUGGGAAAAGGUGGAAAGGAGCAAUAAGGAAGACUAUGAUUUGUCCAAAUUUUGGGAUAUUUCUAUGCAAGAUUCUGAAAGAUCACUGCUCAAAACUCACUGGCAACUAUUGGCCCCUCAUCCAAGAGAUCCCUCCCUUCUACAUUGAUGGUGUUCAAAUCCAGUGAAUUGAAAUUGAUCACACCCGAGCCAUGACAAAUGAUUUAUCUUCAUUGACUACUUUUCCUUCUUCAGGUAAUUCUUAUAACUUCUUUCAUUCUUUUGCUUCCAUUUGCUAUCUGCCACAAUUCGUUGUUCCACCUAAAGUCAGCUUUCUGGGGUUGCGGUCAAUAUUUUGGGUUUGAAGGUAUCAAUUUCUGUUUUGUUCUUCAGUUUGAUGCUUAAUACAGAUUGAUUUUUUCCCGUGGAGAUGUUUCUCAUAGAAUUUCCAAAAACCAGCCACUGAAGGUCAGAGACUGACAUUUGGGUGUGUCGUGUGUGUCCUCGAUGGGGUCUUUUCUUUUUAGGCCAGCAACUCACUCACGGUUGAAAUAAGCCAAAUGUGAUAAGAAGGAUGGGGGAUAUAGAUGUAGGUCCCAGUUUUGGCAAAGCUACCUAAUGGGCACAAGCAUUUGGUUUUCGUGAAAUAUAGCUAAAAUUUGGGGCUGCAAAAUGAUCUUUAGCUUCUUGAAUCCCAUCAGGCACAUCCUUUAGUCUUUAAUUGCACUGUUUGGGAAAAUUGAUAAUAUCCUUGUAUACCACAGCUGCAUUCAGCUCCACUACUACCUUGAUUCAGCUUUUUUUUUAGCUACUGCAAUGCUCUUUCGAACAGCAAGUAAUUCAGCCUCCUUUGCAGAUCUAGCUUGCACUACCACACCUCUGCAGGCAAUUAUCUUCCCUGUUUCAUUUCUGGCCAUAAUCCCAAUGACAGCAUUUUUAGUUCCUCCAAAGUAAGAGCCAUCACAGUUAAUCUUCACAAAACCUAGCUCAGGUUUACUCUACACACCUUGCCUUUCAUCCACCCAAUCAUGACCCAGCUCUCCUACAUUUUUACAAGAAACGCAGUUUGAAAGUGCUUUUUUAAUUUGUAGGAGUGACAGUUUCAGGAUCAAGUGAUUUAUGGUCAAAGAUUACUGCAUUUCUAGCAUUCCGGAUAUACCAACUGGUGUAGGCAAUCAUUCUUAAGCGUUAUCAGCCUGUACCAAGUCAUUCGAAUCUCCUAGCCUCACAUUUGUAGAAUAUCAACCCAUACCAAUAAGUCACCAUCGCUAGUGAUUAGCAGUCUCCCAUACUUGUUAGUCAACAUAGCCAUAAGGGUUUUUUAGCAAAAGGAAAAACCAUUCAAAAGGGUCACCGAUUCCUGACAAUAAUAAAGCAAAGUAUCCCGGUUCUUGUCUUGUUUGCUCAUUUUUGGUUGCUUUUGGGUGGGUAUGCAUAUGAUUUUGUUUGUCGGAUCACUCUUGUAGUUGUUCAUUAAGCAUGAAAGGCAACUGUUAUUCAGGACUAAUUGAUCACCCGUUCCAGGUUUUUGGAUGAGAAAUAUGGGGAAUGUGGAAAGACCAUCAACGGUGGAGGAUGUAUGAUGCAUGGGGUCUUCUGUUUCCUUCCUCUCUAACCUCUCUUUGGAUGAGAAAUAUGAGGAGUGGAAAGACUAUCAAGUGGUGUUCAUGGUCAUCUCUCCUCCCUCAAAAGUUAUAUUUUCUAUGUUGCUCGAAGUUUGGGUACUUGCCAGAGGAUGGCUUCCCUCCCUCCCUCAACGUAUUCCACAUAAUUCAAUGUGAGAUUUUGAAGGAUGGAUCCUCUUUUGCGGGCAACUACUGGCACCUCAUCCAAGAAAUCCCACUCAUUGUGAUUAAUCUAGUUCGGAUCCAACAGGAAGAUUU